UGAGGAAUAUUGGUCAAUGGGCGCAAGCCUGAACCAGCCAUCCCGCGUGAAGGAUGAAGGCCCUAUGGGUCGUAAACUUCUUUUAUACACCAAGAAAAAGCAGGACGUGUCCUGCCCCGACGGUAGUGUAUGAAUAAGCAUCGGCUAACUCCGUGCCAGCAGCCGCGGUAAUACGGAGGAUGCAAGCGUUAUCCGGAUUCAUUGGGUUUAAAGGGUGCGUAGGCGGCUUUUUAAGUCAGUGGUGAAAUCUUGCCGCUUAACGGUAAAAUUGCCAUUGAUACUGAUAAGCUUGAGUACAAUUGAGGUAAGCGGAAUGUGUAGUGUAGCGGUGAAAUGCUUAGAUAUUACACAGAACACCAAUUGCGUAGGCAGCUUACUGAGCCGACACUGACGCUGAGGCACGAAAGCGUGGGGAUCGAACA
This 422-nucleotide ribosomal RNA is filed under the name uncultured prokaryote. Its description in RNAcentral is "bacterial SSU rRNA". It matches the Rfam family "Bacterial small subunit ribosomal RNA", at positions 355 to 774 of the family's 1533-position model. The record is from RNAcentral.